UUCACCAUGAGCUGUGCAAAUUUGGGAAUCUGGCCAAACUCCAGGGCCACCUAUCAUGAGCAGCCUUGUUUGCUGGCAAUUUGCAGAGUUGCAAGGGGUAAAGGACUGGCUUUGACUAUUCAGUCUUUCAGGAAAACUUGAUCCAGUCGGCUAUAUUCUUGGACUGGCAAAACUGUAAUGUUGAGUGCUUCUACCAACUGAUAAUCUAUGGGAAAUCAAGACAGAGCUGCUCUGGGAUGACUAUGCACAUUGAAGGAGGAGUGGAAUUUCAUUUACAAGACAUUUUGAUGAAGUCUCAGUAGGGAAGAAAACUAACUUCUGGAGAGAGCUUACCUGUGCUAGAUAAUUGUACUUGCAUUAUUUCACUGAAUCUUUUUGGCAAAGCUUUGAGGUAGGCAUUAUAGCUCCCUUUGCACAGAUAGAAAUACCAAGGAGAGAUGUAGACAUAUGCCUAAAUUUAUUUUUAAAUAACUGGUGUGAGGCAGAGCUGGGAGUCAAACUCAGGUGUUCUCCCUCUGACCCAGAGCACUUUCUUUCUUUUCUUUUUCUUUCUUUUUUUUUUUUUUUUUUGAGACGGAGUCUCACACUAUUGCACAGGCUAGAGUGCAGUGGCGCGAUCUCGGCUCACUGCAACCUCUGCCUCCCAGGUUCAAGCAAUUCUGCCUCAGCCUCCCAUGUAGCUGGGAUUACAGGUGCGUGCCACCAUGCCUGGCUAAUUUUUUUGGUGUGUGUAUUUUUAGUAAAGACAGGGUUUCACCAUGCUGGCCAGGCUGGUCUCAAACUCCUGACCUCAGGUGAUCUUCCUGCCUCGGCCUCCCAAAGUGCUGGGAUUACAGGCGUGAGCCACCGCAUCUGGCCCAGAGCACUUUCUGCUCCACCUCUGCACCUCUUUGCCUGCUCUAUCAUUAAUAUCACUGGUUUUCUUUUGGGCUAGUUUUUAGUUCUGGCUUAUGCUGAAACUAACGGACAUGCCACCUGAUGUGGACAGAGGUAGCUUAGAGGAUGUGGUCAUGUUUUGGGAAUCCAGUAUUGAGACUGAGAUCCAGCAUUAACUGUGGCUGAGAUCUGUCUCGAACACAUGCACACAUGUACACCCAUGUGCAUUUAAGUAGAAACAAUUGAGGGCUGAUAAGCCAAUCAAACGGUUGAUCUCUUCCAGUCACUGGAAAGGCAGCAGAGAGGGCGUGGAGACAGACACAUCUGGAUGAGAAACUCCAGCUCCACCCACUUAACAGCUGUGUGAUCUUGGAUGUGCCAUUUACUCUCUUGCCUCAGUUCGUUCAUCUGUGAAAUGGAGCAAACAUCACAUCCUUGGUGGUUGUGAAGAUUAACCAUGAUCAUGUUUCAUCACAUCUUGCCUGGAUGACUGCAGUGGCCACUAAGCUGGUCACAGAGUGAGCUUUCUUAAAUGCAAGUGUAAGGAUGGCAGAGCCUCAAGUGCUUCAGUUUCUCCAAGUGCCUGUUCCCUGAGUGGCAUACCAUUGAAGGCCAUCUGAGUCUGCAGCUAUGUUUCCACUCUCACUGGUGUGUGCACCUGGAGCUGUCACUUUUUCAAUAAUGCAUUUCUGACUCCCUCAUCAACAAAGGUCUCAGGUUUUUUCAUCUGUGAAAUGUGAGCAGAAACCCCAGCCCGGCAUACCUCCUACGGGUAGGUUGUGAUCCUGAUGUGAUCCUCAACAAGGCUGCUCAUGAUGUGUGUCUGCUGGAUGGAGGCCUCAGAAAACUCAUUUGACAUCUUGGCUGUAACUUUGUCCAAGUCUGUGUCUGAUGUCAUUAUGCAAUCAAUUCUAUACUAGAUUCUGCCGGGUAAGAUCUUAAAAGACAAAAGCUUUGUUCUCCAGAUCGUCACUGGUUUUGAGGACGUACCUUGUUCAUUCAUUCAUUCAUUCAUUCUGCAAAUUAUUUAUUAGAGCAAAUUAACUUCUGUGACUCUCAAUCUUCUCUUCUACAUAACAGGAAUAAUAAACCUUGCUUCAUAGGGUUAAGUUUUAGGCAUAUGGCUGGUACUCAAGAAAUGAUUAUUAUUAGAUUAUUAUUAUUAUUAGAUUCUUCACAGAAGUCUUAGUAGUAGUCAAAGCAUAAAAGACAUUUAAAGGCUGGACGCUGUGGCUCACAUCUGAAAUCCCAGCACUUUGGGAGGCAGAUGUGGGAGGAUCACCUGAGGUCAGGAGAUCAAGACCAUCCUGGCUAACACGGUGAAACCCCAUCUCUACUAAAAAUACAAAAAAUUAGCCAGGCAUGGUGGCGGGCGCCUGUAGUCCCAGCUCCUCGGGAGGCUGAAGCAGGAGAAUGUCGUGAACCCAGGAAGCAGAGCUUGUAGUGAGCCGAGAUCGCACCACUGCACUCCAGCCUGGGCGACAGAGCGAGACUCCGUCUCAAAAAAAAAAAAAAAAAAAAAAAAAAGAUUAAGUAGGGUCUACCCCUUGCCUCUAGUCUGGCAUAGUAGAAUUACUGUUAUUUUCUCAUUUUUUUAGUUGAAGAAACUGAAAGUGAGGUAAAGAGUCUUAUACCCAUGAACUGGACAUUAUUAUUUCUUUCCUUUCACAAAUGAGAAAACUGAGGCAUAGAGAUGAUAUUUAACUCUCCCCUAGGGACAUAUCACUAAUCAGCAGUAGAUCCCAAAUAGGACUGCAGGUAGCCUGGCUCCAGAGACUAGGAUUGUAGCCUCUAGACUCAAUGGGAUUAGAGGCUAUAGUGAGAAGAAUAUUGGAUUUGGAGUUAGAGCAAUCUGGCUUCUAAUCUCUGCUCCAGCACAGACUAUCUUGAACCUGGGAAAGCCACUUAACUGUCUGAGCUCUGGUUUCCUUAUCUGGGAACUGGAAAUAAUGAUAAUACCUACUCUGUAGGAAUCUUGUAAGAAAGAGAAGUAACAUAUGUCAUUCCUUAGGUAGUGUAAAUUCUAUCUUAGACCAUCAUAGACAUUUUUGCUUAAAGACAGGGUCUCACUCUGUCUCCCAGGCUGGAGUGCAGUGGUGCAAUCAUAGCUCACGGCAACCUUGAACUCCUGGGCUCAAGUGAUCCUCCUGUCUAGGCCUCCCACAGUGCUGGGAUUACAGGCAUGAGCUCCCAUGCCCGGCCAGGUCACCACAGACUCUUAAACAUCACAAGAACUUUUGCAAACAUGACUGUAUGGAAUUAGUGCAGUCACAUGAGGAGGAAUAUAGGAGAGAGAUUUUUUAUCCCUGUUUGCAGAUAAGGAAAGUAAGCCAGAGAGGAAGAGAAAGGGGGAAGGGAACUCUUUUAAAUGCUUUCAUUUAUUCAAUCAAUAUCAGUUAAGCAGCUAUUCAAUUUAUGUUGACUGAUAUCAUUUAUUUAAUAAAUGUCAGUUGAGCAGUAUCACAUCAUGAGGGGUACAAGGAUUGACCCUAUUUUUUUCUGGAUGAGGAACUGAGGCUCAGAUAAAGCAUAACUUGCACAUAGUCACAGAACUAAUCAUGAGCAACACUGCAAUUUAAACUAAGGUAUGUGUGGACCCAGACAUGCUCACAGUGGAGUGAAUUUCCCCCAGGUCUCAGAUGUAAGGGGCAAAGUCAAGGAAGGCUCUAACCCUAAUCUUCUGGGUCCAGAUCUAGUCCACUUUCAUCCCACCAUGUGGUGUAGCCCUACAAAUAAGUUGAAUUCCAAAUUCUAAGCAAGCAUUGACUAAUGCAAAAAUGGUUAAAAGGCCAGAACCCUAGAGGCAGGAAAUGUCACCUUCCUUGAUUAAACCUGGGAAAUGUACCCAUUAUGGAUAAGAUUUGCUGUCUACAGGAAACCGUCUUAGACAUAAACUGAUCCUAUCUUCCAGCCAAAGUGAUUUGAAGAUGGCUUAACUAAGGAGAUUUAAGUAGCUGACUACCUUGAAGGUAAUCUAUGAAAAGGGACCUCUGUCUUCGGAAAGUGCGUCUACCACAAAAGUCUGUGAGGAUGAUGGGUGUGGUUCUGUGAUAAGUGCAAUCAGAAAGUCCAUAUGAGUUCUGAAAAAGUGCAGGUGACCUUGGAGCCAGAGAGAUGGGGUUCAAAUCCUAGUUUCUCUCCCACUUUGGACUUAUUUGUGUUUAACCAUCUUCAUCUGUAAAAUGGAGAGAGCAUUGUUUUGUUUGUUUGCUUGAGAAUCUAGAGACAUUAGGAUGAUUAAACCAUACUGUACACAUCUCUGCUAAUCUUUUAAGGAAAAAUCAUGGAGAAUGGAAAAAAAAUCAGUGAGUGAAAAGAUUUCUCUGUAUCUUCGUCACAAUCCAGAGAAAAGAAGUUCAGAAUCCAAUGGUUUUGGACAACUUGGUCAUCAGAAAAAUGAAGUGUGUCCUGUCUUUGGUGUAUUUCACUAGGUUCUACCUUAUGAACAUGAUGACAAUAAUAAUAAAAAAGUACUUUGCUG
RNAcentral lists this long non-coding RNA (4357 nucleotides) under Homo sapiens (human). RNAcentral's name for it is "HSALNT0242869". The record is from RNAcentral. Lineage: Eukaryota; Metazoa; Chordata; Mammalia; Primates; Hominidae.